This 357-nucleotide ribosomal RNA is filed under the name uncultured bacterium. RNAcentral's name for it is "bacterial SSU rRNA". It matches the Rfam family "Bacterial small subunit ribosomal RNA", at positions 8 to 334 of the family's 1533-position model. The record is from RNAcentral.
AGGGUUUGAUUCUGGCUCAGGACGAACGCUGGCGGCGUGCUUAACACAUGCAAGUCGAACGGACGACCCGGAUAGAAUCCUUCGGGAGGAAGUGCGGGAAGUUAGUGGCGGACGGGUGAGUAACGCGUGGGUAACCUGGCCCUUAAAUGGGGACAACAGUUGGAAACGACUGCUAAUACCGAAUGUGAUCAUGUUGACGCAUGUUGAGAUGAUGAAAGGUGGCUGAGCUUGAUGCUACCGUUAAGGGAUGGACCCGCGUCUGAUUAGCUAGUUGGUGGGGUAGAGGCCUACCAAGGCGACGAUCAGUAGCCGACCUGAGAGGGUGAUCGGCCACAUUGGGACUGAGACACGGCCCAG